This 315-nucleotide ribosomal RNA is filed under the name Triticum aestivum (bread wheat). RNAcentral describes it as "partial small subunit ribosomal RNA". Lineage: Eukaryota; Viridiplantae; Streptophyta; Magnoliopsida; Poales; Poaceae. The record is from RNAcentral.
AUGGUUGCGCCUUCCCAUUUCAAAGCACAAAGAGUUCUUGAUGAGAUUCGCCGGCGUUACUACAAGAAAACUGUCAUGAUACUAAACCUCACGCCCUAUUGAGCAUCUUAUCUCAUCUUAAAGUUGGUUUAUUCGGCUGCCGUAAAUGCUACUCAUUAUAGGGAUUCCGACAAAGCGAAUUUAUUCAUUACUAAAGCCAAAGUCAGUAGGAGUACUAUUAUGAAGAAAUUCAGACCUUGACCUCGAGGACGUAGUUUCCCCAUAAAAAAGCAUGUCUCAUAUAAUAAUUGUGCAUUUUUUUACUUCACUCCAUAA